RNAcentral lists this ribosomal RNA (640 nucleotides) under Salinispora sp. SPM3-5. RNAcentral describes it as "bacterial SSU rRNA". It matches the Rfam family "Bacterial small subunit ribosomal RNA", at positions 119 to 773 of the family's 1533-position model. The record is from RNAcentral. Lineage: Bacteria; Bacillati; Actinomycetota; Actinomycetes; Micromonosporales; Micromonosporaceae.
GAGUAACCUGCCCCAGGCUUUGGGAUAACCCCGGGAAACCGGGGCUAAUACCGGAUAUGACCAUCUGUCGCAUGGUGGGUGGUGGAAAGAUUUUUUGGCUUGGGAUGGGCUCGCGGCCUAUCAGCUUGUUGGUGGGGUGAUGGCCUACCAAGGCGGCGACGGGUAGCCGGCCUGAGAGGGCGACCGGCCACACUGGGACUGAGACACGGCCCAGACUCCUACGGGAGGCAGCAGUGGGGAAUCUUGCACAAUGGGCGGAAGCCUGAUGCAGCGACGCCGCGUGAGGGAUGACGGCCUUCGGGUUGUAAACCUCUUUCAGCAGGGACGAAGCGUUUGUGACGGUACCUGCAGAAGAAGCGCCGGCCAACUACGUGCCAGCAGCCGCGGUAAGACGUAGGGCGCAAGCGUUGUCCGGAUUUAUUGGGCGUAAAGAGCUCGUAGGCGGCUUGUCGCGUCGACUGUGAAAACCCGUGGCUCAACUGCGGGCUUGCAGUCGAUACGGGCAGGCUAGAGUUCGGUAGGGGAGACUGGAAUUCCUGGUGUAGCGGUGAAAUGCGCAGAUAUCAGGAGGAACACCGGUGGCGAAGGCGGGUCUCUGGGCCGAUACUGACGCUGAGGAGCGAAAGCGUGGGGAGCGAAC